GACGAACGCUGGCGGCGUGCUUAACACAUGCCAGUCGAACGGAAAGGCCCUGCUUUUGUGGGGUGCUCGAGUGGCGAACGGGUGAGUAACACGUGAGUAACCUGCCCUUGACUUUAGGAUAACUUCAGGAAACUGGGGCUAAUACCGGAUAGGAGCUCCUGCUGCAUGGUGGGGGUUGGAAAGUUUCGGCGGUUGGGGAUGGACUCGCGGCUUAUCAGCUUGUUGGUGGGGUAGUGGCUUACCAAGGCUUUGACGGGUAGCCGGCCUGAGAGGGUGACCGGCCACAUUGGGACUGAGAUACGGCCCAGACUCCUACGGGAGGCAGCAGUGGGGAAUAUUGCACAAUGGGCGGAAGCCUGAUGCAGCAACGCCGCGUGCGGGAUGACGGCCUUCGGGUUGUAAACCGCUUUCGCCUGUGACGAAGCGUGAGUGACGGUAAUGGGUAAAGAAGCACCGGCUAACUACGUG
RNAcentral lists this ribosomal RNA (468 nucleotides) under uncultured bacterium. Its description in RNAcentral is "partial 16S ribosomal RNA". It matches the Rfam family "Bacterial small subunit ribosomal RNA", at positions 28 to 507 of the family's 1533-position model. The record is from RNAcentral.